RNAcentral lists this ribosomal RNA (868 nucleotides) under uncultured crenarchaeote. RNAcentral describes it as "bacterial SSU rRNA". It matches the Rfam family "Archaeal small subunit ribosomal RNA", at positions 21 to 865 of the family's 1478-position model. Lineage: Archaea; Thermoproteati; Thermoproteota. The record is from RNAcentral.
ACCCCACUGCUAUCGGGAUGGGACUAAGACAUGCUAGUUGAGCGCUUCCAGCCAACACGGGAGCGCAGCGCACAGCUCAGUAACACGUGGCUAAUCUGCCCUUGGGACCGGAACACCCCCGGGAAACUGGGGCUAAUUCUCGAUAGGUGAAGAACUCUGGAAUGAGUCUUUGCUUAAAAGACGUUUGCGUUAUGCUCGUAAGCGUCGCCCAAGGAUGAGGCCGCGACCGAUCAGGUUGUUGGUGAGGUAAUGGCUCACCAAGCCUUUUACCGGUGCGGGCCGUGAGAGCGGGAGCCCGGAGAUGGGCACUGAGACAAGGGCCCAGGCCCUACGGGGCGCAGCAGUCGCGAAAACUUUGCAAUAAGCGAAAGCUUGACAGGGCUAUCCCGAGUGCCAUCCGCUGAGGAAGGCUUUUACCCAGUCUAGAACGCUGGGGGAAUAAGGAGAGGGCAAGUCUGGUGUCAGCCGCCGCGGUAAUACCAGCUCUCCGAGUGGUGUGGAUGUUUAUUGGGCCUAAAGCAUCCGUAGCUGGCUAAGUAAGUCCCUUGUUAAAUCCACCGAAUUAAUCGUUGGAUUGCGGGGGAUACUGCUUGGCUAGGGGACGAGAGAGGCAGACGGUAUUUUCGGGGUAGGGGUGAAAUCCUAUAAUCCCGGGAAGACCACCAGUGGCGAAGGCUGUCUGCUAGAACGCGCCCGACGGUGAGGGAUGAAAGCUGGGGGAGCGAACCGGAUUAGAUACCCGGGUAGUCCCAGCUGUAAACGAUGCAGACUAGGUGUUUGGACGGCCACGUGCCGUUCUAGUGCCGCAGGGAAGCUGUUAAGUCUGCCGCCUGGGGAGUACGAUCGCAAGAUUGAAACUUAAAGGAAU